AUGUUUUCCAGAGUGUUUGUGAUAACCCAUCUUUGUUGUCUGUCUGUCUGCCGUGGAUAAACUGAUAAAGUCCUGCAUGUGCCAAAGGCAAACUGUCUGAAUCCUGAGUUACUUAGAAAAUUCAAAAUACAUUCAGCAUUGAGAAAUGUGUCCAAACAUGUUCUGUGGUUCUACAAAGCCA
This is a long non-coding RNA of Gavialis gangeticus (Gharial), 181 nucleotides long. RefSeq lists it as uncharacterized. NCBI's taxonomy places the organism in Eukaryota, Metazoa, Chordata, Crocodylia, Gavialidae. The record is from RefSeq and is a predicted model, not a curated record. The transcript is spliced from 3 exons.